AGAGAUAAGCCCUGGCCCUCCUUCCUCUCUUCCUUUCCCUCCUUCCCAUGGAAUCACGCACCCCUGCCAGCCGUCGAGUUUAUUGGAAAUCCUAUAAAAAGCUAAAACUCUAUUUUUUCUUUGUUCGAUCAAGCCAUCUCUUCUUCGUUUUCGACGACCUACGCUGCUAUUGGUGGUGCCGUACCUAUACAGCAUGACCCCCACCUUUCUGCCUUCCUUUUUCGAAGGUCAUGGCCAUCGGUGAACGGCCAAUGAUCGGAGAAAUUCGAAGUUAGGGGGUGGUCCCCUAUUUUUUCGAUUAUUUUCUAUUUUCUUUUGGCCUACCGCCUGCUGCCGGCCCUCUCUUGCUCCAUUACCAUCAGUCAGAUGCCCACCACCCGUUGUCAGUCAUCCGAUCAUAAACCACCAAACC
Molecule: long non-coding RNA, 412 nt
Filed under: Elaeis guineensis (African oil palm)
Lineage: Eukaryota; Viridiplantae; Streptophyta; Magnoliopsida; Arecales; Arecaceae
Description: long non-coding RNA (EGUI_LNC052300)
Source: RNAcentral